RNAcentral lists this ribosomal RNA (258 nucleotides) under Forcipomyia tenuis. RNAcentral describes it as "partial 16S ribosomal RNA". The record is from RNAcentral. Lineage: Eukaryota; Metazoa; Arthropoda; Insecta; Diptera; Ceratopogonidae.
AGAGGCUUGUAUGAAUGGCUGAAUGAGAUAAAAACUGUCUUAAUUUAAAAUAAAUUUGAAUUUUAAUUUUUAGUAAAAAUGCUAAAAUUUUUGUAAAAGACGAGAAGACCCUAUAAAUCUUUAUUUUUAUAAAAAUAUUUUUUAAUGUAUAAAAAAUAAAUGUUUAUUUUUAGAAAAAUUAUAUUGGGGUGAUAAUGAAAUUUAAUAAACUUUCAUGGUUUUUAAAUAUUUAUAAAUAGUUUAAUGAUCCAGUUAUAU